ACUUAAAUUGAAGAGUUUGAUCAUGGCUCAGAUUGAACGCUGGCGGCAGGCCUAACACAUGCAAGUCGAGCGGUAGCACAGAGAGCUUGCUCUCGGGUGACGAGCGGCGGACGGGUGAGUAAUGUCUGGGAAACUGCCUGAUGGAGGGGGGUAACUACUGGAAACGGUAGCUAAUACCGCAUAACGUCGCAAGACCAAAGUGGGGGACCUUCGGGCCUCAUGCCAUCAGAUGUGCCCAGAUGGGAUUAGCUAGUAG
This 256-nucleotide ribosomal RNA is filed under the name Klebsiella pneumoniae. RNAcentral's name for it is "partial 16S ribosomal RNA". It matches the Rfam family "Bacterial small subunit ribosomal RNA", at positions 1 to 251 of the family's 1533-position model. Lineage: Bacteria; Pseudomonadati; Pseudomonadota; Gammaproteobacteria; Enterobacterales; Enterobacteriaceae. The record is from RNAcentral.